Molecule: ribosomal RNA, 503 nt
Filed under: uncultured bacterium
Lineage: Bacteria
Description: bacterial SSU rRNA
Rfam family: Bacterial small subunit ribosomal RNA
Source: RNAcentral
AGAGUUUGAUCCUGGCUCAGGAUGAACGCUGGCGGCGUGCUUAACACAUGCAAGUCGAACGAUGAAGCCCAGCUUGCUGGGUGGAUUAGUGGCGAACGGGUGAGUAACACGUGAGUAACCUGCCCUUGACUCUGGGAUAAGCCUGGGAAACUGGGUCUAAUACUGGAUAUGACUUCUCACCGCAUGGUGGGAGGUGGAAAGAUUUAUUGGUCUUGGAUGGACUCGCGGCCUAUCAGCUUGUUGGUGAGGUAAUGGCUCACCAAGGCGACGACGGGUAGCCGGCCUGAGAGGGUGACCGGCCACACUGGGACUGAGACACGGCCCAGACUCCUACGGGAGGCAGCAGUGGGGAAUAUUGCACAAUGGGCGCAAGCCUGAUGCAGCGACGCCGCGUGAGGGAUGACGGCCUUCGGGUUGUAAACCUCUUUCAGUAGGGAAGAAGCGAAAGUGACGGUACCUGCAGAAGAAGCGCCGGCUAACUACGUGCCAGCAGCCGCGGUAAU